Long non-coding RNA from Leptidea sinapis, 683 nucleotides. RefSeq lists it as uncharacterized. The transcript has 2 exons. The record is from RefSeq and is a predicted model, not a curated record. NCBI's taxonomy places the organism in Eukaryota, Metazoa, Arthropoda, Insecta, Lepidoptera, Pieridae.
GAGAACAGUAUUCAGUAGCUCACGAGAAGUCACCUGAAGUUCACGAUGAGAUUCCUGAUUGCUUUCGUCGCCCUGAUCGGCUAUGCCGCAGCCAGCGCCAUCCUGUCCCCCGUGGUCUACGGCGCCAACGCCGGCGAUGUGCAGGCCGCUGUCAUCAACGCUAACGUAGCCGCCCAAGACACAGCCCGGGCGAUUGGCGAAGGCCAAAUCCGCACCGCCGAACUCAUCAACCAGAACAACAUCGAAGCAGUCCGUCAAGUCACCGGAGCAAACCGCGACCUCCACGAGAACGCCUACUGGGGCAGCGUUGCCGCCUCCCAAAACUACGUUGCUGCCGCUCAGUCCCAAGCCGCCGCUAUCGACGGAGCCGCUGCUGGCGCCAGCGCUCAACUUACCGGUCGCGUCUUAGCCGCACCCUAUGCUGCUGCCCCCUACGGAAUUGCUGGCCCCCUUGGAAUUGCUGCACCUCUUGGAAUUGCUGCACCCCUUGGAAUUGCCGCCCCCUACAACACCUUAGGCGCGUACGGCCUUGGUCUCCGCCACUGGUAAUCAGCAUCGCCUAGCUUUAACCACUACCUUAUAGGAUUGGCUCAAUUAAACAUAUUGUGACAUAACUCUCUUUAUAUUUAAGUCAAUCGUAAGCCAUCACUGCCAAAGUGUAAAUAAAACGACGAAUCCAAAUA